RNAcentral lists this ribosomal RNA (486 nucleotides) under uncultured bacterium. Its description in RNAcentral is "partial 16S ribosomal RNA". It matches the Rfam family "Bacterial small subunit ribosomal RNA", at positions 29 to 507 of the family's 1533-position model. The record is from RNAcentral.
AUUGAACGCUGGCGGCAUGCUUUACACAUGCAAGUCGAGCGGCAGCGCGGGGGCAACCCUGGCGGCGAGCGGCGAACGGGUGAGUAAUGCAUCGGAACGUAUCCUCGAGUGGGGGAUAACCCAGCGAAAGUUGGGCUAAUACCGCAUGAGCUCUGAGGAGGAAAGCGGGGGACCUGCGAGGGCCUCGCGCUGGAGGAGCGGCCGAUGUCCGAUUAGCUAGUUGGUGGGGUAAAGGCUUACCAAGGCGACGAUCGGUAGCUGGUCUGAGAGGAUGAUCAGCCACACUGGGACUGAGACACGGCCCAGACUCCUACGGGAGGCAGCAGUGGGGAAUUUUGGACAAUGGGGGCAACCCUGAUCCAGCCAUGCCGCGUGAGUGAAGAAGGCCUUCGGGUUGUAAAGCUCUUUCGGACGGAACGAAAUGGGCGGGACUAAUACUCCUGUCUGAUGACGGUACUGUAAGAAGAAGCACCGGCUAACUACGUG